Molecule: unclassified non-coding RNA, 384 nt
Filed under: soil metagenome
Description: partial contains 5.8S ribosomal RNA, internal transcribed spacer 2, and large subunit ribosomal RNA
Rfam family: 5.8S ribosomal RNA (bases 1-120)
Source: RNAcentral
GAUGAAGAACGUAGCGAAAUGCGAUAAGUAAUGUGAAUUGCAGAAUUCAGUGAAUCAUCGAAUCUUUGAACGCACCUUGCACACUUUGGCAUUCCGAAGGGUAUGCUCGUUUGAGUGUCAUUGUACUCUCACUCUCCCGAUGCUUUUGGAUCGGGAGUGGUGGACUUGGGUGUUGCUGCUUUGCUGUGGCUCGCCUCAAAUGGAGUAGUGCAACUCUUGGUUGGACAUAGUACGGCGUGAUAAGUGUCUUCGCCGGCGCCUCAUUAUAGAGGGUGGCCGAUCGGGAGCUCUGUGCUUCAAACCGUCUUCGGACAACAUCUGACAACUUGACCUCAAAUCGAGUAGGACUACCCGCUGAACUUAAGCAUAUCAAUAAGCGGAGGA